RNAcentral lists this long non-coding RNA (1530 nucleotides) under Anthonomus grandis grandis. RNAcentral describes it as "uncharacterized LOC126746311". The record is from RNAcentral. Lineage: Eukaryota; Metazoa; Arthropoda; Insecta; Coleoptera; Curculionidae.
UUAGUUGUAAGAAUGUGCAUUAAUUUUGACAUUGAAGACAACUUUUUGGCGUUAAUCCCAGUAGUAGAGACCACAGGGGCUGCACUUUAUGAAAUUUUAAUCAACUUCCUUACCGAAAAUGGUGUUCCAUAUAAGUCAAACUUUAUUGGCUUUGCUUCAGAUGGAGCGAGCAACAUGGUUGGCGUUAAUAAUUCUGUGGUCAGUCGAUUGCGAGAAAAUAUUCCAGGUAUAUUCAUAAUGAAAUGCAUAUGCCAUAGCUUUCAUUUGUGUGCAUCAUAUGCAUGCCACAAGUUGCCUGAGGAAGUGGAACAAUUUGCGAGAGAAGUAUAUAACUAUUUUUCAAAUAGUCCGAAGAGAGUGGAAGAAUAUAAGGAAUUCCAGGAAUUUGCAAAUGUCUCAAUAUCGAAGAUUUUACAUCCUAGCCAGACACGUUGGUUAUCUCUGGAAUGCGUGGUUAAAAGGCUUCUUAAUCAAUAUGAAGCUUUGAGGUUGUAUUUCGUAGAUCAGGCGUCUCUUAAAAUCAGUCAAGCAAAUAUUAUUUUAGAAAAACUAAACACGCCCGAAAAUAAAUUAUACUUAUCAUUUUUAUCGCAUGUAUAACCUAUUUUUAAUAGCUUAAACAAAUUAAUGCAAAGCGAAUCGCCCAAAAUUCACGUUAUUUAUAAAGAGGUUGCUAGAACAGUUAAAACAAUUUUAGAUUAUUAUAUUAAGGACGAAUAUCUAAAUGCCAACAUUGAAAAUAUAGAUUUUAAAGACCCUAGACUUUUUUUAAAUUUAAAUGACAUGUACUUUUCUGCCCACAUAAACUCUGCCGAUCUGGAGAAAAACCGACUCGACAUGGUAAAAUUAAGAUGUCUAGACUUUUAUAUUGAGAGUGUGGAGCAAAUAUUGUCAAGAUUUCCACUUAAAAACUCUGUGUUUCAGAAAUUAGAAUUUCUAGAUCCUGAGGUAGUUAAAUCAAGAAAAAUCAGGUCUAUAAGUAAUGUUUCUAUGUUGUUUCAAAAUUUAAUUCCUGCUGAUAUGCAAGUUAUUGACAAUGAAUGGUUGUUACUUAGAAAUUAUGAAAUUAAUUUUACCUGGAAAGGUAUUUGCGAUUUUUGGGGUAAAAUUGCUAAGAUUAAAUGUGUGGAAAAUACAGAAUCCCGGUUUCCCAAUUUAAGUAAUUUUGUGUUUAAUUUAUUAACUUUGCCGCAUUCCAGUGCUAACGUAGAGAGGGUGUUUAGUCAGAUAAAUUUAAACAAAACAAAACAGAGAAAUCGGUUGAAAACUCCUAUGAUAGCUGCUAUACUGCACACCAAAAGUUUAGUGGGCAGAGAAAACCGUAUUUGUUCAAAUUUUCCAAUAGGAAAAGAUUUGCUUAAAAAAUUAAAUAAACAAAUUUAUGAUUCCGAUGAGUCAGAAUAAAAUAACGGAUAUUUCGGAUUUUUGUUUUUCAGUUAUUUACUUUAAGAUUAUGUACGUUUGUUUACUUUAACAUAUAAUUUUAUGUUUUUAUUUAAAUUUGUUAAUAAAAAAGUAGAUAUUUUGGUA